UCAGGUUAGCAGGGUUCUAGUCC
This 23-nucleotide microRNA is filed under the name Heligmosomoides polygyrus. RNAcentral's name for it is "hpo-miR-10150-3p". Lineage: Eukaryota; Metazoa; Nematoda; Chromadorea; Rhabditida; Heligmosomidae. The record is from miRBase by way of RNAcentral.